AGACGAAGGUGGCGACCGUUGUUCGGAAUCACUGGGCAUAAAGAGCACGUAGGCUGGUAUCUAAGUCGGGUGUGAAAUCCCUCGGCCCAACCGAGGAACUGCGCCCGAUACUGGAUACCUUGAGGACGGGAGGGGAGCGUGGAAUUCCUGGUGGAGCGGUGAAAUGCGUUGAUAUCAGGAGGAACACCGGCGGCGAAGGCGACGCUCUGGACCGUUUCUGACGCUGAGGUGCGAAAGCUAGGGGAGCAAACGGGAUUAGAUACCCCGGUAGUCC
Molecule: ribosomal RNA, 274 nt
Filed under: uncultured bacterium
Lineage: Bacteria
Description: partial 16S ribosomal RNA
Rfam family: Bacterial small subunit ribosomal RNA
Source: RNAcentral